AGUGGCGGACGGGUGAGUAACGCGUGGGUAACCUACCUCAUACAGGGGGAUAACAGUUGGAAACGACCGCUAAUACCGCAUAACCCGCUAGUAUCGCAUGAUACGGACGGAAAAGAUUUAUCGGUAUGAGAUGGACCCGCGUCUGAUUAGCCAGUUGGCAGGGUAAUGGCCUACCAAAGCAACGAUCAGUAGCCGGCCUGAGAGGGUGAACGGCCACAUUGGGACUGAGACACGGCCCAAACUCCUACGGGAGGCAGCAG
This 260-nucleotide ribosomal RNA is filed under the name uncultured bacterium. Its description in RNAcentral is "partial 16S ribosomal RNA". It matches the Rfam family "Bacterial small subunit ribosomal RNA", at positions 94 to 354 of the family's 1533-position model. The record is from RNAcentral.